Long non-coding RNA from Musa acuminata AAA Group (dessert banana), 1268 nucleotides. RefSeq lists it as uncharacterized. The record is from RefSeq and is a predicted model, not a curated record. The transcript is spliced from 3 exons. NCBI's taxonomy places the organism in Eukaryota, Viridiplantae, Streptophyta, Magnoliopsida, Zingiberales, Musaceae.
UGUCAAAAACGAGUAUUAAUUCUCCAAACAACAAAAUCAUAUGACGAAACGGAGCAAACAACAGUAGAUCACAAGUCUAAAAGAAUCAAAAAAUACAGCGAGAGAGAGAGAGAGAGAGAGGAGGAGGAGGAGGAGGAGGAGAAGAAGAAGUGGAUAGCGUACGCAGCCAUCUUCUUGUGCGUGUAACGGAUGGGGAAGAAGGAAAACCCUACGAUUCAGAGACACCUUACUCCUACAGAUGGUGGGCGUGAAGGAGAGCGUGCCACCACAAAGGUCUUUAUUAGGGUUAGGGGUGUUUUGGAUGAAGUGGACCGGUCUUCAUUGGAAGUUUUUUGAACCGGCUUCGGUCGAAUCGACACGUACUCUCCGGCGGACCGGUCACGUGCGUUGCGUUCGCCACACGAACUCCCUCGUCUCGCUCUCCGCCACACGAACUUCCUCCUCUGUUGCCGCCUUCCUCCGCCUCGGGGAAGGUCUCCGACGCGCUUCACACUGUUGGGCUAGUAGAGGUCGAUGAUGAACACGAAGAAGAGGUUGCUUCAGAGUGCACAAAUUAUGGCACUCACUUGUGUCUUGAUAUUUGAUCACCAAGCCCAAAGUGCAGAUGAAGCAGUCAGGAUCUUUAGGGAAUUUUGGAGAUCAGAAAGGCUGGAAGACUGAAACACCAUCACUGACCUUUUGACUGGCUUACUUCCUCAAGGAAAACAGCUAACAGACGAACUUUUACCUCUCAUGGUCCUCUUUUUCACCGGUAUUGAACUGCAACUGCUAGUAAUGGGAUGGACAAAUAACUCCUCCCUGUCAGAUUGGUUCAAGGAGGAUGAUCUGCAGCCUAGGUGUCCCAUAUAAGAAGAGCGAGACGCAGGCAUUAAUUGAUAUCAAGGGCCGCUUCUUUGGUGGAAGAAUGGUGCAUGCUUCAUUCUAUGGUGAGGAAAGGUUUAGAAACAAAGAGCUGGCUUCAAUGCAUUUAGAAGUACCUGGUUACCCAUGGGGAACAUUAUUAGGCGAUGAGCGUCUCCAGUGGGCUUUCUGGUAGAUGAUACGUCGGUAACAAUUGUAGCUUGUCCAUGGAGCUUAAUGCAGUCGACCAUGCAUGUCUAAGUUUUGGUCCGAGCUAUCAAUUUGAGGUUCGGGUAACUCUUUGUAAAGCAUUAAAGGAUGUUCUUGGUGAGGAUUGUAGACCUGGAAACGUGCUUACAUGAUCUGUUAAUGGACAUUGUUUGUUCCUUCUUAAAACUGCAAGCUAUUGUCAUCCUGGUUUGUUCUUA